UUGGCAUUUAUAAUUUAUUUUUUCUUAAAAUGUGUUUGGAUGAGAUAUUUGGAGGAAUAAUUUUAUUUUAAUCAAGAUUCUUAAAAAUUCCUUCCAUGUCAUGAGCACGAGUGACAAGCUCUUCAAAAGUGCGAGGUUUAAUUCCUUGCAAGAUGUAAAGAAGUUCUCAAUGCCUAGCCUAAAUGCACAUCUCAACAGCAGACGUUUCUGGUAACCUAUCUUUCAAUCAAGACUUAAAGCUCUCUAUCUGGUGAUGUAGUUGAUAACUAGCUAUUUUUCUUUUGCCUUGUUUUUAUUAAUUCUGUCAUACUAACUAUGCGAAGAGUAAUGGACUCAAGCUCCAAAUCAGUAUGCCAGUCAAAAGCAUUUCCUUUGAGUGAUUGCACAAAUUACUUGACAAGAAGAUCACCAUAUGUUCAUGUAGUGUUACAAGUUUCAAUGAAGUGAGCAACAUGCUGGUGAGGAUUUUCUUUUCUGUGAACCUGUUGAAAUUUAGGUGGUUGAUAAUUUGUUGGCAUCUUUAACUCAUCAAUUCUUCGGGUGUACAGAUUGGUGUAUGCAUGUUAAGUCUUGGAUGCAGUGCCAUAUUGCGCCUUAAUUGUAUUUGCAACCAUAUCUUGUAGUUGUUUUAACUAACAAUAAGGUUGUUGAUGUAGAUGACGAAGCAUUCACCAUAGGGUUCUCUGCUUCUUGGGCGGCUUCAAGUUUUUUAGAAGCUUCAGCAUCUGACUUGUUUGCUGUGAAACUGGGAAAAUGUAAUUGAUCCUGUUAGCUCAUUGUCUUGCUGCAUUUCUCUUUGGCUUUAGAGCUUUGCUAUUUGCGCAUUUUUUUUCUUCCAUCACUUUAAAGUGAUCAAUCAUCUUCUUUUCCAUUUCAGCAAACUUUUCUUCUCAUGUAGUGGAACCAAUGACUAUUAUCAGCAUGACUUUAGAAAUAGAAUCGAAUUGUGUUAUUAGUGGGGAGCCAAGAUCUUCACUUGACUUCGAAAGAUCCCUUCUCUGCAAGGCAACGAGUCUUGACAAAAGUAAUUGUAAGAUCAUAGAUGCCAUGUAUCUCAACAAAGCAAUUUGAUUUGUUGAAGGAGAUAGAGACGAGAGGCAGAGAUGUCCCAUCGUGCUUGCCAAAAAUUUGUACAUACAAAUUUCUUGUUUGAAAAUCUAGAACAGAAAUAAAGUGUCAAAAUUCAAUUUUUAUUAAAUUAAAUAUUGAAUACAAUUCUUUGUACAUUUUAUACAAGAAAAUAAUCCAUAGAUUUGAUCUCCUUAGAAGCAAAAUUGUUCAAGGGCUUGACAGCUUGAUCUCGAAGUAAUUUGGCAAAUCUUUAAAACGGCGUCUUUUGUCGUAGAGAAUAAGCUUGAAUGAUUUUUAUGGGCGAGAACUUUAUCACGAACUAGCAAAGAUAAGCAGAUCUUCAAAGGCAUCGCCAAAGGCUUGUGAACUAGCAAAGUUUUCUCUUCUUUGGAAUUGCUUCCCAAAUGACUUGGAGAAACUCUCUAUUUAUACUUCUAUGGUGCUGUGACACUAUAUAACGUCGAAAACUGUGAUAGUAUGUGAGAGAGUUUCAAAAGAACUUAAUCACUUUGAUUUUAUCUCUAAUUAUUUUAAAUUAAUUAGAGAUAACUAAGAUGACUCAUGGAUAGAUUUUAAU
This 1648-nucleotide long non-coding RNA is filed under the name Durio zibethinus. RNAcentral describes it as "long non-coding RNA (DZIB_LNC000918)". Lineage: Eukaryota; Viridiplantae; Streptophyta; Magnoliopsida; Malvales; Malvaceae. The record is from RNAcentral.